Molecule: ribosomal RNA, 443 nt
Filed under: uncultured bacterium
Lineage: Bacteria
Description: partial 16S ribosomal RNA
Rfam family: Bacterial small subunit ribosomal RNA
Source: RNAcentral
CCUACGGGUGGCAGCAGUGGGGAAUAUUGCGCAAUGGAGGAAACUCUGAUCCAGCAACGCCGCGUGAAUGAUGAAGGUCUUCGGAUUGUAAAGCUCUUUUCUAAGGGAAGAAGAAAGUGACGGUACCUUAGUAAUAAGCCUCGGCUAACUACGCGCCAGCAGCCGCGGUACUACGUAGGAGGCGAGCGUUAUGCGGAAUGACUGGGCGUAAAGGGUGCGUAGGUGGUUGGGCAAGUUAGUAGCGGAAGUCCAAGGCUCAACCUUGGAACUACUACUAACACUGUUGGACUUGAGUGCAGGAGAGGUAAGCGGAAUGCCUAGUGUAGCGGUGGAAUGCGUAGAUAUUAGGAGGAACACCAGUGGCGAAGGCGGGUUGCUAGACUGUAACUGACACUGAGGCACGAAAGCGUGGGGAGCAAACAGGAUUAGAUACCCGAGUAGUC